This 503-nucleotide ribosomal RNA is filed under the name uncultured bacterium. Its description in RNAcentral is "partial 16S ribosomal RNA". It matches the Rfam family "Bacterial small subunit ribosomal RNA", at positions 30 to 523 of the family's 1533-position model. The record is from RNAcentral.
AUUGAACGCUGGCGGCAGGCUUAACACAUGCAAGUCGAGCGGGGGAGGUUACUUCGGUAAUUGACCUAGCGGCGGACGGGUGAGUAAUACUUAGGAAUCUGCCUAUUAAUGGGGGACAACAUCUCGAAAGGGAUGCUAAUACCGCAUACGCCCUACGGGGGAAAGCAGGGGAUCACUUGUGACCUUGCGUUAAUAGAUGAGCCUAAGUCGGAUUAGCUAGUUGGUGGGGUAAGGGCCUACCAAGGCGACGAUCUGUAGCGGGUCUGAGAGGAUGAUCCGCCACACUGGGACUGAGACACGGCCCAGACUCCUACGGGAGGCAGCAGUGGGGAAUAUUGGGCAAUGGGGGGAACCCUGAUCCAGCCAUGCCGCGUGUGUGAAGAAGGCCUUAUGGUUGUAAAGCACUUUAAGCGAGGAGGAGGCUCUUUUGGUUAAUACCCAAGAUGAGUGGACGUUACUCGCAGAAUAAGCACCGGCUAACUCUGUGCCAGCAGCCGCCGUAA